Molecule: ribosomal RNA, 501 nt
Filed under: uncultured bacterium
Lineage: Bacteria
Description: partial 16S ribosomal RNA
Rfam family: Bacterial small subunit ribosomal RNA
Source: RNAcentral
AUUGAACGCUGGCGGCAGGCUUAACACAUGCAAGUCGAGCGGGCGAGGUUGCUUCGGUAACUGAGCUAGCGGCGGACGGGUGAGUAAAGCUUAGGAAUCUGCCUAUUAGUGGGGGCCCCCUUUCGGAAAGGAAUGUUAAUACGGAAUCGGCCCUACGGGGGAAAGCAGGGGAUCUUCGGACCUGGCGCUAAUAGAGGAGCUUAAGUCGGAUUAGCUAGUUGGUGGGGUAAAGGCCUACCAAGGCGACGAUCUGUAGCGGGUCUGAGAGGAUGAUCCGCCACACUGGGACUGAGACACGGCCCAGACUCCUACGGGAGGCAGCAGUGGGGAAUAUUGGACAAUGGGCGCAAGCCUGAUCCAGCCAUGCCGCGUGUGUGAAGAAGGCCUUUUGGUUGUAAAGCACUUUAAGCGAGGAGGAGGCUCCUUUAGUUAAUACCUAAAGUGAGUGGACGUUACUCGCAGAAUAAGCACCGGCUAACUCUGUGCCAGCAGCCGCAGUAA